Molecule: ribosomal RNA, 300 nt
Filed under: uncultured Salinimonas sp.
Lineage: Bacteria; Pseudomonadati; Pseudomonadota; Gammaproteobacteria; Alteromonadales; Alteromonadaceae
Description: bacterial SSU rRNA
Rfam family: Bacterial small subunit ribosomal RNA
Source: RNAcentral
GCAGCCUCCUGGCCAGGAGGCGGGUGAAUACGUUGGGUGCAUGCGUUGUCCUGAAUUUGUUGGCUGAAAGUGCGCGUAGGCAGGCUUGCGCGUGUGCUUUGAAAGCCCGAGGCUCAACCUCGGGCCUGCAGUGGGUACGGGCAGACUAGAGUGCGGUAGGGGAGAUUGGAAUUCCUGGUGUAGCGGUGGAAGGCGCAGAUAUCAGGAGGAACACCGAUGGCGAAGGCAGAUCUCUGGGCCGUAACUGACGCUGAGGAGCGAAAGCAUGGGGAGCGAACAGGAUUAGAUACCCGAGUAGUC